AAUGGCACCCUAUUCCCUAUAUAGUGCACUACCCUAUGAGCCCUGGUCAAAAGUAGUGCACUAUAAAGGGAAUAGGGUGCCAAUU
RNAcentral lists this microRNA precursor (85 nucleotides) under Salmo salar (Atlantic salmon). Its description in RNAcentral is "mir-130 microRNA precursor family". RNAcentral also lists the same sequence under 1 other name. Lineage: Eukaryota; Metazoa; Chordata; Actinopteri; Salmoniformes; Salmonidae. The record is from Rfam by way of RNAcentral.